GACGAACGCUGGCGGCGUGCCUAAUACAUGCAAGUCGAACGCAGUGGGGACGGGUGAGUAACACGUGGGUAACCUCCCAUCAGAGGGGAUAACACUUGGAAACAGGUGCUAAACCGAUACUGAUGGAUGGACCCGCGGUGCAUUAGCUAGUUGGUGAGGUAACGGCUCACCAAGGCCACGAUGCAUAGCCGACCGGAGAUUGUUAUCGGCCACACUGGGACUGAGACAGGGCCCAAAGUCCUACGGAGUGAAGAAGUAGGGAAUCUUAGGCAAUGGUCGAAAGUCUGACCGAGCGACGCCGCUUGAGUGAAGAAGGUUUUCGGAUCGGAAAACUCUGUUGUUAUAGAAGCGGUAUCUAACCAGAAAGCAACGGCUAACUACGUGCCAGCAGCCGCGGUAAUAC
RNAcentral lists this ribosomal RNA (403 nucleotides) under uncultured bacterium. RNAcentral's name for it is "partial 16S ribosomal RNA". It matches the Rfam family "Bacterial small subunit ribosomal RNA", at positions 28 to 526 of the family's 1533-position model. The record is from RNAcentral.